AUUUGUAGACCCUGCUCUAAUAUUUGGAACAGCCAUCGAUACUUCGGUGUGUUUGGUUGAGUGCACCACAUGAUGCAUGUAUGGAUGAUCCUGGAUGAUAUGGGUCAACUAAUUUGGUUGAACCAUAUUGUUCAUCGUUCUUUGUAGAUAGUCAUACCAAGUGGGAUGGCAUCACAUCCUCGAUGAGUUGGUACAGUUCACCUAACCAAACAAAAGAUGAUUGUCCAUUUUAAACCAUUUCAUACAUGAAUCAAAUGAUACAUGUAACCAAACAUAUCCCGAUCUUGUUUUGAUCCACUAGCAAAAUUUUAGCUGACUAAAGUUGAUUGAGAUGGAUUCAAACAGGCUAGCUAAAAAGCAGCUAAAUCUCUUCUAACUAAUUGGAAAGCAAACUAUCCCAGCUAAAGAAGUUUAAAUAUUGAAUUGUCCCUCCACCUUCCUCGGAACCCCCCUGCACACAGCC
RNAcentral lists this long non-coding RNA (463 nucleotides) under Setaria viridis. RNAcentral describes it as "long non-coding RNA (SVIR_LNC010499)". Lineage: Eukaryota; Viridiplantae; Streptophyta; Magnoliopsida; Poales; Poaceae. The record is from RNAcentral.